Molecule: ribosomal RNA, 385 nt
Filed under: uncultured eukaryote
Lineage: Eukaryota
Description: partial 18S ribosomal RNA
Rfam family: Eukaryotic small subunit ribosomal RNA
Source: RNAcentral
CAAUAGCGUAUAUUAAAGUUGUUGCAGUUAAAAAGCUCGUAGUUGGAUUUCUGGUGGGAGUGACCGGUCCGCCUUUGGGUUGUGUACUAGUUGUCGUCUCUCGCCAUCCUUGGGGAGAACGUGCCUGGCAUUAGGUUGUCGGGUUCGGGAACCCCAUCCUUUACUGUGAAAAAAUUAGAGUGUUUAAAGCAGGCUUAUGCCGUUGAAUACAUUAGCAUGGAAUAAUAAGAUAGGACUUUGGUGGUCUAUUUUGUUGGUUUGCACACCAAGGUAAUGAUUAAUAGGGACGGUUGGGGGUAUCCGUAUUUCGUAGUCAAAGGUGAAAUUCUUGGAUUUACGAAAGACGAACUACUGCGAAAGCAUUUACCAAGGAUGUUUUCAUUAA